Molecule: long non-coding RNA, 218 nt
Filed under: Brassica napus (rape)
Lineage: Eukaryota; Viridiplantae; Streptophyta; Magnoliopsida; Brassicales; Brassicaceae
Description: long non-coding RNA (BNAP_LNC015291)
Source: RNAcentral
AGUUUAAGAUUUAGGGUUUAGGGUUUAGGGUUUAGAGUUUAGGGUUUAGGGUUUAGAGUUUAGUGUUUAGGGUUUAGGGUUUAGGGUUUAAGGUUUAGGGUUUAAGGUUUAGGGUUUAGAGUUUAGGGUUUAGGGUUUAAAGUUGACAAAUAAGUUUUUGGGAUAAGAAUUCAAAUUUUGAAAAAUAAAAAAAUUAAAAUUUUCAAAGGAUAAACUUA